Molecule: transfer RNA, 67 nt
Filed under: Gallotia atlantica (Atlantic lizard)
Lineage: Eukaryota; Metazoa; Chordata; Lepidosauria; Squamata; Lacertidae
Description: tRNA-Gly
Source: RNAcentral
ACCCUUCUAGUACAACUAGUACAGGUGGUUUCCACCCACCCAGUCUUAGACCAUCUAAGGAAGAGUA